This 253-nucleotide ribosomal RNA is filed under the name uncultured prokaryote. RNAcentral describes it as "partial 16S ribosomal RNA". It matches the Rfam family "Bacterial small subunit ribosomal RNA", at positions 524 to 776 of the family's 1533-position model. The record is from RNAcentral.
UACGUAGGGUGCGAGCGUUAAUCGGAAUUACUGGGCGUAAAGCGAGCGCAGGCGGUUCUGUAAGUCAGAUGUGAAAUCCCCGGGCUCAACCUGGGAACUGCGUUUGAAACUACAUGGCUAGAGCAUUGGAGAGGGUAGCAGAAUUCACGGUGUAGCAGUGAAAUGCGUAGAUAUCGUGAGGAAUACCAGAGGCGAAGGCGGCUACCUGGACAAUUGCUGACGCUCAGGCACGAAAGCGUGGGGAGCAAAAGGG